CGCCUCCCAAAAGGUAACGGAGGCGCUCAAAGGUUCUCUCAGUACGGUCGGAAAUCGUACGUAGAGUGUAAAGGCAAAAGAGAGCUUGAUUGCAAGACAUACAGGUCGAGCAAGGAUGAAAAUCGGACUUAGUGAUCCGGUGGUUCUGCGUGGAAGGGCCAUCGCUCAACGGAUAAAAGCUACCCUGGGGAUAACAGGCUUAUCUCCCCCAAGAGUCCACAUCGACGGGGAGGUUUGGCACCUCGAUGUCGGCUCAUCACAUCCUGGGGCUGUAGUAGGUCCCAAGGGUUGGGCUGUUCGCCCAUUAAAGUGGUACGCGAGCUGGGUUCAGAACGUCGUGAGACAGUUCGGUCCCUAUCCGUCGCAGGCGUAGGAAAUUUGAGAAGACCUGUCCUUAGUACGAGAGGACCGGGAUGGACGUACCUCUGGUGUACCAGUUGU
Molecule: ribosomal RNA, 441 nt
Filed under: Clostridioides difficile
Lineage: Bacteria; Bacillati; Bacillota; Clostridia; Peptostreptococcales; Peptostreptococcaceae
Description: partial 23S ribosomal RNA
Rfam family: Bacterial large subunit ribosomal RNA
Source: RNAcentral